AACGAACGCUGGCGGCAUGCCUAACACAUGCAAGUCGAACGAAGUCUUCGGACUUAGUGGCGCACGGGUGCGUAACGCGUGGGAAUCUGCCCUUGGGUGCGGAAUAACUUCUCGAAAGGGAUGCUAAUACCGCAUAAUGUCGUAAGACCAAAGAUUUAUCGCCCAAGGAUGAGCCCGCGUAAGAUUAGCUAGUUGGUGGGUAAAAGCCUACCAAGGCGACGAUCUUUAGCUGGUCUGAGAGGAUGAUCAGCCACACUGGGACUGAGACACGGCCCAGACUCCUACGGGAGGCAGCAGUGGGGAAUAUUGGACAAUGGCGAAAGCCUGAUCCAGCAAUGCCGCGUGAGUGAUGAAGGCCCUAGGGUUGUAAAGACUCUUUUACCCGGGAUGAUAAUGACAGUACCGGGAGGAAUAAGA
This 417-nucleotide ribosomal RNA is filed under the name uncultured bacterium. Its description in RNAcentral is "bacterial SSU rRNA". It matches the Rfam family "Bacterial small subunit ribosomal RNA", at positions 29 to 492 of the family's 1533-position model. The record is from RNAcentral.